This 1905-nucleotide ribosomal RNA is filed under the name Escherichia coli. RNAcentral's name for it is "partial 23S ribosomal RNA". It matches the Rfam family "Bacterial large subunit ribosomal RNA", at positions 911 to 2798 of the family's 2925-position model. The record is from RNAcentral. Lineage: Bacteria; Pseudomonadati; Pseudomonadota; Gammaproteobacteria; Enterobacterales; Enterobacteriaceae.
UGUUUCGGCAAGGGGGUCAUCCCGACUUACCAACCCGAUGCAAACUGCGAAUACCGGAGAAUGUUAUCACGGGAGACACACGGCGGGUGCUAACGUCCGUCGUGAAGAGGGAAACAACCCAGACCGCCAGCUAAGGUCCCAAAGUCAUGGUUAAGUGGGAAACGAUGUGGGAAGGCCCAGACAGCCAGGAUGUUGGCUUAGAAGCAGCCAUCAUUUAAAGAAAGCGUAAUAGCUCACUGGUCGAGUCGGCCUGCGCGGAAGAUGUAACGGGGCUAAACCAUGCACCGAAGCUGCGGCAGCGACGCUUAUGCGUUGUUGGGUAGGGGAGCGUUCUGUAAGCCUGUGAAGGUGUGCUGUGAGGCAUGCUGGAGGUAUCAGAAGUGCGAAUGCUGACAUAAGUAACGAUAAAGCGGGUGAAAAGCCCGCUCGCCGGAAGACCAAGGGUUCCUGUCCAACGUUAAUCGGGGCAGGGUGAGUCGACCCCUAAGGCGAGGCCGAAAGGCGUAGUCGAUGGGAAACAGGUUAAUAUUCCUGUACUUGGUGUUACUGCGAAGGGGGGACGGAGAAGGCUAUGUUGGCCGGGCGACGGUUGUCCCGGUUUAAGCGUGUAGGCUGGUUUUCCAGGCAAAUCCGGAAAAUCAAGGCUGAGGCGUGAUGACGAGGCACUACGGUGCUGAAGCAACAAAUGCCCUGCUUCCAGGAAAAGCCUCUAAGCAUCAGGUAACAUCAAAUCGUACCCCAAACCGACACAGGUGGUCAGGUAGAGAAUACCAAGGCGCUUGAGAGAACUCGGGUGAAGGAACUAGGCAAAAUGGUGCCGUAACUUCGGGAGAAGGCACGCUGAUAUGUAGGUGAAGCGACUUGCUCGUGGAGCUGAAAUCAGUCGAAGAUACCAGCUGGCUGCAACUGUUUAUUAAAAACACAGCACUGUGCAAACACGAAAGUGGACGUAUACGGUGUGACGCCUGCCCGGUGCCGGAAGGUUAAUUGAUGGGGUCAGCGCAAGCGAAGCUCUUGAUCGAAGCCCCGGUAAACGGCGGCCGUAACUAUAACGGUCCUAAGGUAGCGAAAUUCCUUGUCGGGUAAGUUCCGACCUGCACGAAUGGCGUAAUGAUGGCCAGGCUGUCUCCACCCGAGACUCAGUGAAAUUGAACUCGCUGUGAAGAUGCAGUGUACCCGCGGCAAGACGGAAAGACCCCGUGAACCUUUACUAUAGCUUGACACUGAACAUUGAGCCUUGAUGUGUAGGAUAGGUGGGAGGCUUUGAAGUGUGGACGCCAGUCUGCAUGGAGCCGACCUUGAAAUACCACCCUUUAAUGUUUGAUGUUCUAACGUUGACCCGUAAUCCGGGUUGCGGACAGUGUCUGGUGGGUAGUUUGACUGGGGCGGUCUCCUCCUAAAGAGUAACGGAGGAGCACGAAGGUUGGCUAAUCCUGGUCGGACAUCAGGAGGUUAGUGCAAUGGCAUAAGCCAGCUUGACUGCGAGCGUGACGGCGCGAGCAGGUGCGAAAGCAGGUCAUAGUGAUCCGGUGGUUCUGAAUGGAAGGGCCAUCGCUCAACGGAUAAAAGGUACUCCGGGGAUAACAGGCUGAUACCGCCCAAGAGUUCAUAUCGACGGCGGUGUUUGGCACCUCGAUGUCGGCUCAUCACAUCCUGGGGCUGAAGUAGGUCCCAAGGGUAUGGCUGUUCGCCAUUUAAAGUGGUACGCGAGCUGGGUUUAGAACGUCGUGAGACAGUUCGGUCCCUAUCUGCCGUGGGCGCUGGAGAACUGAGGGGGGCUGCUCCUAGUACGAGAGGACCGGAGUGGACGCAUCACUGGUGUUCGGGUUGUCAUGCCAAUGGCACUGCCCGGUAGCUAAAUGCGGAAGAGAUAAGUGCUGAAAGCAUCUAAGCACGAAACUUGCC